AUGCCAUCCCCCCCCAACCUGUGCCAAAACCCUCCAGUUUGCUCAUACCACACCUGGAGAAGGUAUCAGGCACACACUCAUGUAKCCCAUAACACCUUGCUUUGCCACACCCCCACGGCCUUCAGCAGUGAUAAACAUUUAGCAAUGAGCCCAAGCUCGACUUAGCCACGGUUACAUAAGGUCGGUAAAUUCCGUGCCAGCCACCGCGGUUAUACGGAAGACCUUAAAUAAUUAGAUGCGGCGUAAAACGUGACUAGAAAUAAGUUCAAUAGAAGAAGCUAAAACUUGAAUUAAAGGCGUAAAACACCAAUAUCCAAAAGAAUCCCAUAAUGCUUCUCAUACUAAACAGCUUUGACCCCACGAAAACUAAGACCCAAACUAGGAUUAGAUACCCUACUAUGCUUAGUCGUAAACCCAGGCAAUCAUGCUCGCCAGAGAAUUACAAGUGAAAAACUUAAAACUCAAAGGACUUGACGGUGUUCCAUAUCAACCUAGAGGAGCCUGUCCUAUAAUCGAUACUCCGCGCUAAACCCAACCCUCCCUAGAAUACUCAGCCUAUAUACCGCCGUCGCCAGCCUACCUAACAACAGAAACAAAAGUAAGCACAAUAGUAUAUCACUAGCACGUCAGGUCAAGGUGUAGCUUAUGGUGGGGCAGAGAUGGGUUACAUUUUCUAACUAUCAGAAAACUCUACCGUAAGUCAUAUGAAAUAUUAAACUGAAAGGCGGAUUUAGCAGUAAAUUUGGACUACCUCUGCCCAAUUGAAUCAAGCCCUGGAACGCGUACACACCGCCCGUCACCCUCCUCAAAAUUUAUAUAAUCAAUAUAUAAACCACAACUAAACCAC
This 847-nucleotide ribosomal RNA is filed under the name Phyllopezus pollicaris. RNAcentral's name for it is "partial 12S ribosomal RNA". It matches the Rfam family "Bacterial small subunit ribosomal RNA". Lineage: Eukaryota; Metazoa; Chordata; Lepidosauria; Squamata; Phyllodactylidae. The record is from RNAcentral.